CGGCAAGAUACAUCAGUUGGCCUCCCUCUUCUCUUAGCAAGCUCCUAGAAGUAAAGAGACUAUGCAGAACGUAAGCCUGUCUGCCUGGAUGCGGUCAAACUGUUCUUUCUCAAAACCCUUAAAUUGCAUCAAAGAAGCCAGGCACCAAAUGGUA
This 154-nucleotide long non-coding RNA is filed under the name Mustela putorius furo (domestic ferret). RNAcentral describes it as "lncRNA (ENSMPUG00000028244.1)". Lineage: Eukaryota; Metazoa; Chordata; Mammalia; Carnivora; Mustelidae. The record is from RNAcentral.